GGGGGGACAGCUCAGUGGCAGAGCACAUGUUUAGCAUGCACGAGGUCCUGGAGACUGAACCUGGGUUCAAUUUCCAGUACCUCCA
RNAcentral lists this transfer RNA (85 nucleotides) under Camelus ferus (Wild Bactrian camel). It matches the Rfam family "tRNA". From Rfam's summary of the family: Transfer RNA (tRNA) molecules are approximately 80 nucleotides in length. Lineage: Eukaryota; Metazoa; Chordata; Mammalia; Artiodactyla; Camelidae. The record is from Rfam by way of RNAcentral.